CUAUCGGUGCAUGACAGUACAGAUAUAGGCAGGGUGAAUUCGUAUCGUUCGAGCAGCGGGGUGGGCGUUGUAUACUGUAAACGGCCAACAGCUCUUUUUGCAAUAGCGUUAUUUCGAAUUAAUAUGAAUUGGUCUAUACAUUUUUUAAUUAUUCUUUAGACAACGAGAAAUGCGGAAGAUUCUAAGCACACGUGUAUCAGCCUCUUUAAUGGCAAAACACUAACGUUGUAAAAACAAAAAGAAUAAAACUCUAUUUAUAGUAAUUGCAUAUAAAAACAUACAUAAAAGUUUAAGGAAAUAAAGCACACGGCUGGUCCACUAACACUGUAAUAAAUAAAUUAAGGAAUAAAAUAUAAAAAGUUUAAAGAAUAAAAGAGUUUAACUGUCAUUCAAAGUAAUACAAGAAAUUGUGUCAAAAGCAAAUUUUUAAAAACGGGGGAUAGCACGUAUGAUGGUAAAGACGGACCGCUAGCGCCUCCCUGAGGACGAAUGUAUCCACAGCGCGUAAACCCCCCACAGCUGGGGAGGGCGUCCGUCCCCCCCCAAAGUUUGCCUUUAUUAAGCGGGGGCAAAUGAACGGGCGAAAUACACCUGACAUCUGAAAGCUUGAAGCAACAACGAAGACCAAAGCGGCGAUGGAAACGCUAAACUGGAGGUAGGCCUAUGCUACGUUUUCAUUUAAAUGUAUUUUAUAAUUGCUGUUAUAGAUUUUUCUACUGUGAAAACAUUACGAUUACUUCUGACCAAGAAUUUCCCACGCUGUCAAGUCCGAGUAAGGCCCAUGUAACAGAGGAAUGGGAUAGUGAUAGCGGCAAUGAACUGCUAUGCACGCCAAUGGUUAUUUUCAGAGAUAAUCGUCAAGGAACAGUUAGCCAUAAGCGGAAAAGAGCGGAUAGUUUUAAUGACAUGACUGAUGAUGAACUGCUGGUCGCUGCGGCUGAAAAAAUUGAAGCAGAGCUAGCUACCUCAACCGGACAACUGGAAUUUAUGUGACCGGGGACUCCCACUACACAAAGCGGGGCGCCGGACCAAGGGGAAUCGACAAGCGGUGUUCCAGCAUCAUCGCCCCGUGCCUUACCGGAAUCACCGCAGGGGCCACAAGAUUGGGAUACUGACCCCUUAACACCUUGGCAAUUACCUGUUUUGAUUUCCCGGACUGUAGAUGAUUCCCGAGAGGAGCGUUUGAAGGCGCUCAAACUAGCU
This is a non-coding RNA of Paramormyrops kingsleyae, 1203 nucleotides long. The record is from RefSeq and is a predicted model, not a curated record. NCBI's taxonomy places the organism in Eukaryota, Metazoa, Chordata, Actinopteri, Osteoglossiformes, Mormyridae.